AGGAUUCAGUUUAGGAUUUGAUUAGGAUUUGGUUUGGAGUUUAGGAUUUGGAUUAGGAUUUGAUUUAGGAUUUAAGAUUUAAUUAGGGUUUGGUUUAGGGUUUAGAGUUUGGAUUAGGGUUUGAUUUAGGAUUUAGGAUUUGGAUAGGGUUUGAUUUAUGAUUUAGGAUUUGGUUAGAGUUUGGUUUAGGAUUUGGAUUAGGGUUUGGUUUAGGAUUUGGUUAGGAUUUGGUUAGGAUUUAGGGUUUGGAUUAGGAUUUGGUUUAGGAUUUGAUUAGGAUUUGAUUUAGGAUUUAAGAUUUUAUUGGGAUUUAAGAUUCUAUUAAUUUGGCUUAAAGUUUGAAUGAAGUUCAAUAGGAUUUUAACUAUAAUUAAACUAAGAUUGAAUUGAGAUGUAUUUGAAUGACAUUUGUGUUCUUUCUAAUGUUUCUUUAAAAAUUCCUAUUGUUUGUUUGAAAUUUCUUUGAGGUUUUUUUGAAUUUGAUUAAGCUUGCUUAGCAUUAUUAUAAUCUAAUUAGAGUAUUAUUAAUAUUCUAUUAGAAUUAAGGUUUUGUUAUUACAAUUUCCAUUCUUCCUUCCACAACCAAGUGCCCGAAGCAUUCUCAAGCCAGACUUCACGUAUUACGACACCAUGUAUAUAAAUCACAAGAACUUUAAUUAUUUCAUAUCAGCUCAUAUUUUGAAUUAUUGCUAAGCUCAUUGGAGCAUGUCUCUAUGAAGAUUUGAAUUCAAUAUUACAUAUCAGCUAAGAAAAUAAUAAAAUUUAUCUGAUUCUUUUUUUGGAUAUUCUUAUUUUAUAUCUAAAGAAAGAAAUGCAGCUUUUGAUCAACAAUUGAUAAUUUUAUUGAAGCCAAAAUAAUUUCAUCUUUGAGUAGUGAAAUCAACAUUGACUAUUGAUUCAACUUUUCUCAAACAAAUUCAAUAAAGUAUGUCCUCUAAUCUUCUUACUCAUGAUAUCAAGAAUACUUCUUCUAAGGCUUAUAACACUUCUAAGUUUGAGUUCAAAAAUAGCCUACUUUAUUUCAAAAGAUGCCUAUAUGUACCAAACAGAGAAGCACAUUCACAAGUUCUUCAAACAUGUCAUGACUUUCUAACAAUAGGAUAUUUUGGAUAUAAUAAGACCUUCAA
Molecule: long non-coding RNA, 1127 nt
Filed under: Physcomitrium patens
Lineage: Eukaryota; Viridiplantae; Streptophyta; Bryopsida; Funariales; Funariaceae
Description: long non-coding RNA (PPAT_LNC000060)
Source: RNAcentral